This is a regulatory RNA element of Clostridium paraputrificum, 108 nucleotides long. It matches the Rfam family "SAM riboswitch aptamer (S box leader)". Rfam says of the family: The SAM riboswitch is found upstream of a number of genes which code for proteins involved in methionine or cysteine biosynthesis in Gram-positive bacteria. The SAM riboswitch acts at the level of transcription termination control. The record is from Rfam. Lineage: Bacteria; Bacillati; Bacillota; Clostridia; Eubacteriales; Clostridiaceae.
CUCUUAUCAAGAGAGGUGGAGGGACUGGCCCGAUGAAACCCAGCAACCGAUAUGAAUCAUAAGCAUAUGUGGUGCUAAUUCCUGCAGCGUAAAGCUGAAAGAUAAGGU